Molecule: transfer RNA, 76 nt
Filed under: Citrobacter freundii
Lineage: Bacteria; Pseudomonadati; Pseudomonadota; Gammaproteobacteria; Enterobacterales; Enterobacteriaceae
Also listed under: 10 other names
Description: tRNA-Phe
Rfam family: tRNA
About the family: Transfer RNA (tRNA) molecules are approximately 80 nucleotides in length. Their secondary structure includes four short double-helical elements and three loops (D, anti-codon, and T loops). Further hydrogen bonds mediate the characteristic L-shaped molecular structure. tRNAs have two regions of fundamental functional importance: the anti-codon, which is responsible for specific mRNA codon recognition, and the 3' end, to which the tRNAs corresponding amino acid is attached (by aminoacyl-tRNA synthetases). tRNAs cope with the degeneracy of the genetic code in two manners: having more than one tRNA (with a specific anti-codon) for a particular amino acid; and 'wobble' base-pairing, i.e. permitting non-standard base-pairing at the 3rd anti-codon position.
Source: RNAcentral
GCCCGGAUAGCUCAGUCGGUAGAGCAGGGGAUUGAAAAUCCCCGUGUCCUUGGUUCGAUUCCAAGUCCGGGCACCA